Molecule: long non-coding RNA, 2247 nt
Organism: Cynocephalus volans (Philippine flying lemur)
Lineage: Eukaryota; Metazoa; Chordata; Mammalia; Dermoptera; Cynocephalidae
Exons: 3
Source: RefSeq, a predicted model, not a curated record
AGUAAAUAGAAGCUUUUGCUGCACAAUGUUUCAGACAGAAUGAAGGAGAAAUGGCAUCAAUUCCCCUGAGAAGAAGUGCAGCUGGGCUCUGGAUGGGAAGAGUGAGUGGGCAGGGGACCUGCCACAUUGUAGGAGUUAAGAUGGAGAGAAGGAGUUGUGGAAAUCACAGGCCAAAAAGCCUCUCAUGGAGAAGGCAGAAUAAACACCUCACAUAUAUUUUUCACCUGCUGUGACAGUGGCUCGCCGGCACUUUACAACAAGGUGUGCUCUGGCUAAAACUCCAGUUUGCAGAGGUAUAGCCAUCCUUGCCAAUUCUUUGUGCAAGACUGCCACCAGCUCCUGCAGCUUCUCCGCCCUCAGGCCUGGUUCGGAACCCUGCAAGUGUCUGCUUGUACCGCCAACUGCUCUUAGCCGCUGGAUGCCGUUCCUGCCUUUGAGACAAAGGAUCCAUUAUCCACCAGCUUAGGGUUCCCCAGGUAUGAGGGAAGACCAAUAGGCAUUUAGUCUCACCUUUGUUUCAUUUUGCAGAGCAGAGGCUAUUUCGAGAGACCUGAACUUCACUUGUUUCCUCAAAAGCAUAAAGGAGAAAUUCCACGCCUUGACUGGCCCCUGCCUCAAGUGAGCGUAGGGUGAGGAAAGCACAAGUUUCUUUAAUCCCAAUGGAAAGCGCCAGCCUGGUGGCAGUGUGGAAGCCUGUGUCACCUUGACACUGACCUGGCCCAAACAAAUAAGCAAGCAGAGUUUUGGUGGCCUUCUCUCAUUUGCAAAAUGAGGACUCUGGAUUAUUAACCUAAGACCAAGUAUACAAAAUUUAGUGUUAAAAAUUAAUAUUGAUAAUGAAAAUAAUUUUUUUUAGGACAGCGAGGACAAUAUCUGAACCCAAUGUGCUUGGGCUGUCAUCUGUGACUAAGGAGACAAAAUCAGGGGACCUUCUCAUAUCUAUUUUCUCCUUUCUUCUUCCUGCAAGGCAUGUGCUAGGUUUUUCAUGGAAGAAUUCAGCUGCCACAUAAAAUCUGCAUAGUUUUACAGACUCUGCACAGGCCAGACUUGGAAUGGCUUUUGCACGUUAACUCUCUUCCUGCCCCUCUUUCUCCCAGCCUCGUCCAUCUGCAAACACAAGUACCAAGUCGGAACCUUAAAAAUGGCAGGUGAAGCAAAUGAAACCCCAGCGCAGUUGACAAAAAGGUCUAAAUCCUCGUGACGUGCACAUUUUGUUAAAAAGGAAAGAAAAUUUAAAAAACAAAAGAAAGAAAAGCAACAUAGAAAGUGAACAUAUAAUAUAAAAAAGUAAAUCAGGCCAGUUGGCUCAGUUGGUUAGGGCACAGUGUUGAUAACACCAAAGUCAAGGGUUUGGAUCCCCAUCCCAGCCAGCCGCGCCCCUCCCCCGGCCCCCAAAAGCAAAUGAUCCAUGAUAAAGGUAGAAAGAAUUCUUUCGCUUUUCGGAAAAGUUGUGCCCAACACGUGUCAAACCUCUCUCCAUCCUUUCAUGUAUUGGUGGGGAGAACAGCCUUGUGUUUAUGGCUUUUGUUAACAGUUAUGGAGGUGUUGACCAUGCUGCCCCUUUUCUUCCUGGAGCUGUAUAUAUCCUCCGCUGGACUGCCACACAGGCAGAAGGGGCUGGUGCGCACCCCAUCACAAGGCCACACCCCAACCAUUCCGGCUUCUGGGACAGGGGAGGAGGUUUGAGAUGAGGUGAGACAGGCUCAUACUGCUGUCUAUCCCUUGUCAUUCCCUUUACCAGGGACACAGGCAAGCCCUUCUAGCCUCUUGGCUCAAGUUGCUAAUCCCAGCUAGUUCUGAACUUCUCCAAACACAGCCUAGACUUUACCUGAUUCCUCAGCAGGCAAAUCCUCAAUGCCUGAUAUUAAACCAAAGAGGUUUCCCAGUACUAGUGUCCUUAUACCAUUUGGACGCAGAGGGGUAUGUUCAGAAAUAUAAAAAUACACACACGCAGUAAUAAAGAGGCAUCAGAAACUGCCUUCUGGAGCUUACCCAGAGAUCUUUCUUUCGUCUGGUUGGUCGACCUCACCACAGGAAGGCUCGCUCGAGUCCGGCUGCCUCUGGAAAAAGGACUUGGAGCUUCCCCCUCAGACAUGGCUUCCAAAGAGUCACCGGACGUCUCUGAUAAAUGCUCGAUUGGGUCGCCCAAACUGGGAGGUUGAGGACUGUGAGACAGUUUGGGGCUUCUCGUCUGCAAAAUACAUUUUAAAGAAAGUGGGAAAAUAAACUUGUUAAUUAUGCUGAAAA